This 1365-nucleotide ribosomal RNA is filed under the name uncultured Bacteroidota bacterium. RNAcentral's name for it is "bacterial SSU rRNA". It matches the Rfam family "Bacterial small subunit ribosomal RNA", at positions 85 to 1457 of the family's 1533-position model. Lineage: Bacteria; Pseudomonadati; Bacteroidota. The record is from RNAcentral.
GGAGGGCGGACCGCCGCACGGGUGAGUAACACGUAUGCAACCUGGCUCAUACAGGGGGAUAGGCUUUCGAAAGGGAGAUUAAUACCCCAUAAUACAAGGUUCCUGCAUGGGGAUCUCAGUUAAAGAUUAAUCGGUAUGAGAUGGGCAUGCGUUGGAUUAGAUAGUUGGAAGGGUAACGGCCUCCCAAGUCGACGAUCCAUAGGGGUUCUGAGAGGAAGGUCCCCCACACUGGUACUGAGACAGGGACCAGACUCCUACGGGAGGCAGCAGUGAGGAAUAUUGGUCAAUGGUCGGAAGACUGAACCAGCCAAGUCGCGUGAAGGAAGAAGGUAUUCAGUAUUGCAGACUUCUUUUAUACAGGAAUAAAGUUUUGUAAUAAUACAAAUUUGCAGGUACUGUAUGAAUAAGCAUCGGCUAACUCCGUGCCAGCAGCCGCGGUAAUACGGAGGAUGCGAGCGUUAUCCGGAUUUAUUGGGUUUAAAGGGUGCGUAGGUUGUGAUAUAAGUCAGCGGUGAAAAGUACGGGCUUAACCUGUAUCUUGCCGAUGAAACUGUAUGACUAGAGAUCACGCGAGGCAGGCGGAAUUCGUAGUGUAGCGGUGAAAUGCAUAGAUAUUACGAAGAACACCGAUAGCGUAGGCAGCUUGCCAGAGUAUAUCUGACACUGAAGCACGAAAGUGUGGGAAUCAAACAGGAUUAGAUACCCUGGUAGUCCACACGGUAAACGAUGAAUACUAACUGUUUGCUCACAAGGUAAGCGGUCAAGCGAAAGCGAUAAGUAUUCCACCUGGGGAGUACGCCGGCAACGGUGAAACUCAAAGGAAUUGACGGGGGCCCGCACAAGCGGAGGAACAUGUGGUUUAAUUCGAUGAUACGCGAGGAACCUUACCCGGGCUCGAACGGCUAUGGAAUGUCUGUGAAAGCAGACAGGUCGCAAGACCUGUAGUCGAGGUGCUGCAUGGUUGUCGUCAGCUCGUGCCGUGAGGUGUCGGCUUAAGUGCCAUAACGAGCGCAACCCUUACCGGGAGUUACCAUCAGAUAAAGCUGGGGACUCUGCCGGGACUGCCGCCGUAAGGCGUGAGGAAGGUGGGGAUGACGUCAAAUCAGCACGGCCCUUACGUCCGGGGCGACACACGUGUUACAAUGGGCGGGACAAAGGGUCGCUACCGUGCGAGCGGAUGCGAAUCUCAAAACCCGCUCCCAGUUCGGAUUGGAGUCUGCAACCCGACUCCAUGAAGCUGGAUUCGCUAGUAAUCGCGCAUCAGCCAUGGCGCGGUGAAUACGUUCCCGGGCCUUGUACACACCGCCCGUCAAGCCAUGGAAGCCCGGGGGUACCCUGAAGUACGUAACCCGCAAGGGGACUCCC